GAUGAACGCUGGCGGCAUGCCUAACACAUGCAAGUUGAACGAACUUAUAUUUUUAUAAAUUUAAGUUAAGUAGCGGACGGGUGAGUAACAUGUAAGAACCUACCUUUAGGAGGGGAAUAACUACUGGAAACGGUAGCUAAAACCCCAUAAGCUGCGGAGUAAAAAGUGAAAACUACCUAAAGAUGGGCUUGCAUCUGAUUAGCUUGUUGGUAAAUUAAUUGUUUACCAAGGCGAUGAUCAGUAGUUGGUCUAAGAGGAUGAUCAACCACACUGGGACUGAGACACGGCCCAGACCUCUACGGAGGGCAGCAGUGAGGAAUUUUCCGCAUGGGCGCAAGCCUGACGGAGCAAUGCCGCGUGGACGAUG
Molecule: ribosomal RNA, 367 nt
Filed under: uncultured cyanobacterium
Lineage: Bacteria; Bacillati; Cyanobacteriota
Description: bacterial SSU rRNA
Rfam family: Bacterial small subunit ribosomal RNA
Source: RNAcentral